AUUCAGCUGACGAAUCCUAAAUAAGACGAAACGUUCAUCAUGGAU
RNAcentral lists this non-coding RNA (45 nucleotides) under Schistosoma mansoni. Lineage: Eukaryota; Metazoa; Platyhelminthes; Trematoda; Strigeidida; Schistosomatidae. The record is from RNAcentral.